UGGGGAAUUUUGGACAAUGGGCGAAAGCCUGAUCCAGCAAUGCCGCGUGUGUGAAGAAGGCCUUCGGGUUGUAAAGCACUUUUGUCCGGAAAGAAAUCCUUGGCUCUAAUACAGUCGGGGGAUGACGGUACCGGAAGAAUAAGCACCGGCUAACUACGUGCCAGCAGCCGCGGUAAUACGUAGGGUGCAAGCGUUAAUCGGAAUUACUGGGCGUAAAGCGUGCGCAGGCGGUUUGCUAAGACCGAUGUGAAAUCCCCGGGCUCAACCUGGGAACUGCAUUGGUGACUGGCAGGCUAGAGUAUGGCAGAGGGGGUAGAAUUCCACGUGUAACAGUGAAAUGCGUAGAGAUGUGGAGGAAUACCGAUGGCGAAGGCAGCCCCUGGGCCAAUACUGACGCUCAUGCACGAAAGCGUGGGGAGCAAAACAGGAUUAGAUACCCUGGUAGUCCACGCCCUAAACGAUGUCAACUAGUUGUUGGGGAUUCAUUUCCUUAGUAACGUAGCUAACGCGUGAAGUUGACCGCCUGGGGAGUACGGUCGCAAGAUUAAAACUUAAAGGAAUUGAC
RNAcentral lists this ribosomal RNA (565 nucleotides) under uncultured bacterium. RNAcentral's name for it is "partial 16S ribosomal RNA". It matches the Rfam family "Bacterial small subunit ribosomal RNA", at positions 355 to 914 of the family's 1533-position model. The record is from RNAcentral.